This 253-nucleotide ribosomal RNA is filed under the name uncultured bacterium. RNAcentral describes it as "partial 16S ribosomal RNA". It matches the Rfam family "Bacterial small subunit ribosomal RNA", at positions 524 to 776 of the family's 1533-position model. The record is from RNAcentral.
UACGUAGGGUGCAAGCGUUGUCCGGAAUUAUUGGGCGUAAAGAGCUCGUAGGCGGCUCAGCAAGUCAGGGGUGAAAUCCCGGGGCUCAACCCCGGAACUGCCCUUGAAACUGCUAAGCUAGAAUCUUGGAGAGGCGAGUGGAAUUCCGAGUGUAGAGGUGAAAUUCGUAGAUAUUCGGAAGAACACCAGUGGCGAAGGCGACUCGCUGGACAAGUAUUGACGCUGAGGUGCGAAAGCGUGGGGAGCAAACAGG